CACAUCCUCAGGGCCCUCAGGGCUCUAGUGGGCCCCUAACGAGGGACUUCCCACCUGGGUAGGAGGUGGGUUUUCCAAGCGACUGGAAGGAGCACAAGGCGACGAGCCGUGCGCUGAGUACAGGAAAAUGAGCAGCAAGAAGGGGGUGCCCAAAGCUGCAUCAGGGAAGUGGCAGCCAUUCCUCCCUGGAGCCCAGCCGAGAGCUGUUGCUGGGAAGCCGAGAGAGACCCGCCAGUCGCCGAGGAAGACCGGCCAGCCGGCCGAGCGCCCAGAGGCCCCCGCAGGUGAGAGCCUGCGCGCCCCGCGUCCGCUCUGCUCUCGGGGCCGGAGGGGAUGGGCAGGACUGCGGGCGGGCUGGCGGGAAGGGGCUGCCCCGGGCCGGGACACGCGUGGUGUGCGUGCGUGUGCGUGUGCGCGCGCGGGUGCGCGCGGAGCCGCGAGGCCCUCCCCGGGGCAGGUGGAGCUGAACCCCGGCCUUCUCUCCGACCGCAGCAGCUCCGUGCUUUCCCGGCGAGGGCUGGGCGGGGUUGGCCCGGUGCCGCCUCCCAGGGGCGCGGCCUGUCCGGGAGUCCCUCUCCCUCACGCCUUUAACGCGCGGUGGUCGUCCGCUGGGGACUGGACAGGGGCCACCACCUUCGU
Molecule: long non-coding RNA, 639 nt
Organism: Mirounga angustirostris (Northern elephant seal)
Lineage: Eukaryota; Metazoa; Chordata; Mammalia; Carnivora; Phocidae
Exons: 3
Source: RefSeq, a predicted model, not a curated record